UCAACCACACUUAUAAAGCAUUCCAUUUCAGCAAAAGAACCAUGUAGAACAUCAGACACAAUAUCUACACAUACCAAAGUAACCAAACUCAUACAAAGAUUUUUGAGUUUUAACACUAACCAACAAAACUGCAAUCUUAUUAUUUAUUUACAAACAAGUAACACAAACCGUUGUAACGACCCGAAAAGCUAGGUAGCUUCAGCAACCGACGACAGAUGUAAACUCGCUCCAUACCUCUUCAUAAAGCUACUUCCACAUAACCGGUCCGGAUUCCCAACAUGAUAAUCAAUGCUACCUGACUGAGGCUCGGGUUCAAGAAAAUCAACCAGCUGUUCUUCAUGUUCCAACUUAUAGCCCACGCCUGAAGAAGAGCUUCCACCGCGUUUUCUAACUUGCUUUUUGUCUUUACUUUUGCUUCCACGUGAUGAUUUGCUCCCGUGCUUUUGCUUGUUCUUUGAAUUCUUCUUGCUGUGCUUUGAAGACGACCUGUUGUUUGUUACGACAUGUGACGCUGAAGUAGGAAUUGGAUCGUACACGUCUGGGGCCCACUUCACGGUUAACUUUACGGGCGGAGCAACUCCUCGUUUCUCACGGCUGCCUUUCAUUGCGGAUACAGGCUUCAGAUGGGUCUGCAAAGAUAAAGAACGUAAGCCAGAUGGAUCAUUAAAUUUAAUGUUGUCACCAUGGGUUGAUAGCUCACUUGUGAUGCCAUCUUGAAGAGAGAAGGUUUUACUUGAAGACGGAAAUGUAGCAUGUUUGUGAAGACACUUUUCAGGGGUUUGAAUCGUUGUUUUGUUCAAAAGAAACUCAUCACACGAAUCCUUUUCCUCGAACUCAGAAUUUUUAUGGGAUGUUGAGGAGGUCAAAUCAUCUUCUUUGGUAUCUUGAAUGUUAAGAAGCUCGGUCACAUCAACACUUAGUUCAUCUACGGAACGAGCUUUUAGAACUCCAAGAGUAGAUUCAAAUGUAUUCGUACCAUUCAUGCAUGACCGGUUAUGAUCAUUAUUCUUAUCAGUGGCUGACAAUCCAAUUUCAGAGCAAACAUCCAUUGGUAUUAAUCAAUAGCUGCAAUGGGUUUACACAAAACGUUAAAAUACUCUGAAUGCCAAAAUGUUACAAGAAACCUAUAUUAAAACAAGAAUCUACUGUAUAUUGAAUUUGAGGUUCACAUAUAAAAACAAUCUACACUAGGACUUGAAAAGUAAACAAUCACAAGCAGAUGUAAAAUCAUAGACCAUGUAUGGAAGGCUUGGAAGAACAAAAACCAUAAUAACGUGCUACCGAUAUCUUAUCUGAAGUUAAAGCAAUGAUGUAUUCUAUGGAUAGUGGAUUAAAAGAUUGAUGAUUGACUGGCCAAUGGUCAUAAACAAUUCAAGCCAUGCCCAGCCACCACACUGUGGAUUAGCAAGUUUUGUGGCGUUCUCCCUUUGACGCGCCUGGUGAAUCACCGCUGAACACAAACCGGGAUUCAAACCAAUAACGCCUAGGUUAUGAUCCAAACACUAGGGCAAGCCUAUCAGAGUAUCGAGUUGUUCGUUUAUUAUUCUUAUUCCUGAAACAAAAUAAUCUCAUGCGCACUUAAAAUAUCCAAUAGAUCAGAAAAUUCAAAAUCACCAAAAAUGUUGUUCUAUUUAAUCACAAUCAAAAACAAAACAAUCAUUUACUACAAAUCUAUCAAGUAAUCCAACAUUUACACCACACAAGAUCCUCCAAUUAAAUGCACAAAUCCACUUAUAUAUACAUAAACAAAAUCAUAUUCACAUCCAAAUAAAAAAAUUAAAAAAAAAAGAUAUACCUUUUCCAGCAAGAAUAGAAUCAGAUCUGCGUUGACCAAACUUCAAAUCUCCUAUUUCUUAACGCGAUGAUGAUGAAAACGAUGAUAAAAAUUAACAGAUAUAGAACCAGAUAAUCCGAAUUAACUAUUAUAGAUACUAAUUAGAGAGCUUAAAAACACAGAAUAUUAAACCGAUUGUUAACUAAGAUUACCACGACGAUCACCUUUCUCAAGAUGACGUUUCAGACGAUGAGAAUACGAACGACCGACAUAGAAAACGGUAGCUAAAGGAGGAAUAAUAUUAACAAAUUCAAUCGAGAGCACCGAAGGCAUUGUUCGAUGCGAUUGAAGGCCUAAUUUAACGAAAUCAACAACCGAACCCUAACAGAACGAUUCGAUCGUUAAUUGUAUCGGAUUUGUGUGAAUUCAAUGGGGCAAAUGAUGGAGAUUACAUGAAUUUGAGGAUCCAGAUUCGAUGAUCGGAAUUGAAGAACAUGAUUUGAAAGUGCGAGAAAUUAGG
RNAcentral lists this long non-coding RNA (2294 nucleotides) under Helianthus annuus (common sunflower). RNAcentral's name for it is "hypothetical non coding rna". Lineage: Eukaryota; Viridiplantae; Streptophyta; Magnoliopsida; Asterales; Asteraceae. The record is from RNAcentral.